This is a long non-coding RNA of Micropterus salmoides (largemouth bass), 1437 nucleotides long. RefSeq lists it as uncharacterized. The record is from RefSeq and is a predicted model, not a curated record. Lineage: Eukaryota; Metazoa; Chordata; Actinopteri; Centrarchiformes; Centrarchidae. The transcript has 5 exons.
AACAACACAACCAGUCAAUAGCUCCUUACAAGAGUUUAAGACCGUGGAGGCAGCCGGCGUGUGAUAGAUCGUGUACACUUGUGUUAAGAAAUACUUGAGUGUUUCUUCAGAACAACUGAAGGUACCCGAGAUGGAGUUAUGACGGUAUUUACACACCCGGCAACUCUCGGAGAAGUUUUCUUCCAAACUGGAAUAAAUCACUCCAUAAUAGCCAGACAUUGCAGAGCAUGAUGACAGCUCCACCACGGCACACCCCACACCCCCUUUAUGACCACCAUGUCGGACCAGAGUUAGAUGUCCAUGAGCUGUCUCUCUGCUACCCCCAGGGAUAAGCUCCAUGGCUGGACUGUACAACUCCAACAGGGUUUGGUACUACCGCAGACCCCAUCGCAAGGACCCGAAACAGAGCAAAGUUGACAUCUUGGCCUGUUAACCCUCUGACAGGAAGCCCACUGCUGGUGGAAUCAGCAAUAUUGGUACUUAACUGGAUUUAUCAACACCAGUGGCCAAUACACCAGUAGUAUUUCAGGUAUUUGCUUCCUUCUUGUUGACCCGAACUCCUGUGUGACCACCAUGAAGACACUGCCAAUGACAAAACUUGAGUCAACGUGUUUCACCUGCCUUCUCAUUAACCCAGCACAAUGCAUCCUGUAGUUGUAUAAUCCCAGAUAUCUGCAUCUGUGGCUGGAUGAAGAGGUAGGAGGUCUCUUCUUACAGGCUUCAUCUUGUGCUGGGAUUGGAGCAGGGCCGGCCGGAAUGAGAGAUUCAGGUUACGACUCCCUCCAUCGGCGGCUCAGUGUUCUGGACAGACUGGUGCAUACACAUUCUGUGUGGCUACAGCUGGGUCUCAGCCACCAGGACUCCACACGUAUACUGCAGAGCCAACCGACCGGGAUAUUUUUGGUGAGGAAGUCAACCAGCUUGCAGAGAAAAGUAAUAUCUCUACGCAUGGACGAACACAGUGCAGUUCCUGUCAAAGACUUCCCUGUCAAGGAGAGCCAAUACAGUAAGCAUCUGGAAACCCUUAAUUUAUUAGUUUUUUUUAAAUGCAUGACGCUGACUUCUAAGAAUCAGGUUUCAAAGACUUGUGAGGGACACAGCUGGCAGGCAUGAGGAGUCAUUGGUAAAUUUUCAAAAAAAGUUUUAUUUACCAGGAAAAAAAGAAAAAAAUUAAACAACCAAUUUACAAAAGAUACAUUAAAGCUCUGGGUUCAUCUAAACAGAACUUAACACAGGCUACAGUAAGUUAACAUGAACUGAACAGGCUAAACUGAACGUGGGGUAAACGUAUUAAGUUGCUGAUCAACCAUUCUGACACAGGGGGAUAGACUAAUACGUAACAUUUAAACAAACUACAGUAACCACAAAACAUGUCAAGAUACUUAAUAUUAUGUAAGAAAAAUGAAUGAAACAUAUCAAACUGCCGAAACUGCCCUU